RNAcentral lists this ribosomal RNA (492 nucleotides) under uncultured bacterium. Its description in RNAcentral is "partial 16S ribosomal RNA". It matches the Rfam family "Bacterial small subunit ribosomal RNA", at positions 29 to 507 of the family's 1533-position model. The record is from RNAcentral.
AGUGAACGCUGGCGGUAGGCCUAACACAUGCAAGUCGAACGGCAGCACAGUAAGAGCUUGCUCUUACGGGUGGCGAGUGGCGGACGGGUGGGGAAUACAUCGGAAUCUACUUUUUCGUGGGGGAUAACGUAGGGAAACUUACGCUAAUACCGCAUACGACCUACGGGUGAAAGCAGGGGAUCUUCGGACCUUGCGCGAUUGAAUGAGCCGAUGUCGGAUUAGCUAGUUGGCGGGGUAAAGGCCCACCAAGGCGACGAUCCGUAGCUGGUCUGAGAGGAUGAUCAGCCACACUGGAACUGAGACACGGUCCAGACUCCUACGGGAGGCAGCAGUGGGGAAUAUUGGACAAUGGGCGCAAGCCUGAUCCAGCCAUACCGCGUGGGUGAAGAAGGCCUUCGGGUUGUAAAGCCCUUUUGUUGGGAAAGAAAAGCAGCAGGAUAAUACCCCGCUGUUCUGACGGUACCCAAAGAAUAAGCACCGGCUAACUUCGUG